Camellia sinensis is the source of this 254-nucleotide non-coding RNA. NCBI's taxonomy places the organism in Eukaryota, Viridiplantae, Streptophyta, Magnoliopsida, Ericales, Theaceae. The record is from RefSeq and is a predicted model, not a curated record.
CACUGGACACUUCUUGUAUUUGACACUGAACUUGAUGAAUGGAGACAUUACAAUUCUUUAAGGCCAAGAGACAACAGAGAAGAUCCUUACCUUAAGGAUGCAAAAAAGAUUAUAACAUAUGUGGAUAGCAAGUUGGCCAACAAAACGAAGAGAGGUAGAAGAAAGUUUGCAAACUUGGUUUCGGUAAAAGAUAGUCCACAACAACGCCCAACAUCUGUUGAUUGUGGAAUUAUUGUAUGUUAUAUCAUGCGCCA